GAUGAACGCUGGCGGCGUGCCUAAUACAUGCAAGUCGAGCGAACGGACGAGAAGCUUGCUUCUCUGAUGUUAGCGGCGGACGGGUGAGUAACACGUGGAUAACCUACCUAUAAGACUGGGAUAACUUCGGGAAACCGGAGCUAAUACCGGAUAAUAUUUUGAACCGCAUGGUUCAAAAGUGAAAGACGGUCUUGCUGUCACUUAUAGAUGGAUCCGCGCGGCAUUAGCUAGUUGGUAAGGUAACGGCUUACCAAGGCAACGAUGCAUAGCCGACCUGAGAGGGUGAUCGGCCACACUGGAACUGAGACACGGUCCAGACUCCUACGGGAGGCAGCAGUAGGGAAUCUUCCGCAAUGGGCGAAAGCCUGACGGAGCAACGCCGCGUGAGUGAUGAAGGUCUUCGGAUCGUAAAACUCUGUUAUUAGGGAAGAACAUAUGUGUAAGUAACUGUGCACAUCUUGACGGUACCUAAUCAGAAAGCCACGGCUAACUACGUG
RNAcentral lists this ribosomal RNA (497 nucleotides) under uncultured bacterium. RNAcentral describes it as "partial 16S ribosomal RNA". It matches the Rfam family "Bacterial small subunit ribosomal RNA", at positions 28 to 507 of the family's 1533-position model. The record is from RNAcentral.